This 277-nucleotide unclassified non-coding RNA is filed under the name Streptomyces tendae. Its description in RNAcentral is "partial 16S-23S intergenic spacer region". The record is from RNAcentral. Lineage: Bacteria; Bacillati; Actinomycetota; Actinomycetes; Kitasatosporales; Streptomycetaceae.
AAGGAGCACAUAGCCGACUGCAAGCAAAUGUCUUGCACGGUUGCUCAUGGGUGGAACGUUGACUACUCGGCACACUUGAUCCUGAUCUUCUCGGUAGUACUGCUUCGGCGUGGAACACGAGUGAGGGAAGGCAAGGGUGUCGGGCACGCUGUUGGGUAUCUGAAGGUACGGCCGUGAGGUCGCCUUCAGUUGCCGGCCCCGGUAAAGAUCUGCGAAAGUGGGUUGUGACGGGUGGUUGGUCGUUGUUUGAGAACUGCACAGUGGACGCGAGCAUCUG